This 248-nucleotide ribosomal RNA is filed under the name uncultured bacterium. Its description in RNAcentral is "partial 16S ribosomal RNA". It matches the Rfam family "Bacterial small subunit ribosomal RNA", at positions 109 to 353 of the family's 1533-position model. The record is from RNAcentral.
AGUAACACGCGGGCAACCUGCCUUACAGAGGGGGAUAGCCUUCCGAAAGGAAGAUUAAUACCGCAUAUUAUGAUUUUUCUGCAUGGGAAAGUCAUGAAAGGAGCAAUCCGCUGUAAGAUGGGCCCGCGGCGCAUUAGCUAGUUGGUGAGGUAAGGGCUCACCAAGGCGACGAUGCGUAGCCGACCUGAGAGGGUGAUCGGCCACAUUGGGACUGAGACACGGCCCAGACUCCUACGGGAGGCAGCAUG